GGAGCCUCUGCACGGACCUGGCCUGGCUCUGUGGCUGUCUCAACUUUUCGCUAGCAGACCCGGCUCACCGAGUUGGUUUUAAUCCCCGGACUCCAGUUCCUUUGUCUGUUCCCUCGUUUUUCCAUAGCUUCUUUUCUUUGUCUACUUUCAAAUCAUUGGAGGUCGUAGGAAUUGCGUGUUUGGGUCACCAAGUGGAGGGCUGAGACAUUUCUAGAAGUCUGGAAGACAGAUUUGCUCAGCGCGAUGGGCUGCAAAAACCUGUUGAGCCUGGGUCAGCAGAUGCUGCGCCGGAAAGUGGUGGACUGCAGCCGGGAGGAGAGCCGGCUGUCCCGCUGCCUCAACACCUAUGAUCUGGUAGCUCUUGGGGUGGGCAGCACCUUGGGUGCU
RNAcentral lists this long non-coding RNA (387 nucleotides) under Rattus norvegicus (Norway rat). RNAcentral describes it as "long non-coding RNA NONRATT007249". The record is from RNAcentral. Lineage: Eukaryota; Metazoa; Chordata; Mammalia; Rodentia; Muridae.